Long non-coding RNA from Oncorhynchus tshawytscha (Chinook salmon), 183 nucleotides. RefSeq lists it as uncharacterized. Lineage: Eukaryota; Metazoa; Chordata; Actinopteri; Salmoniformes; Salmonidae. The record is from RefSeq and is a predicted model, not a curated record. The transcript is spliced from 2 exons.
CUGAUAAACAACAGAACCUCAGAGACACUAAUCAACCCAACAGGUUGAUAUACAACAGAACCUCAGAGACACUAAUCUGACUGAUCAACCCAACAGGCUGAUAAACAACAGAACCUCAGAGACACUAAUCAACCCAACAGGCUGAUAUACAACAGAACCUCAGAGACACUAAUCAACCCAACA